Molecule: non-coding RNA, 609 nt
Organism: Macaca mulatta (Rhesus monkey)
Lineage: Eukaryota; Metazoa; Chordata; Mammalia; Primates; Cercopithecidae
Source: RefSeq, a predicted model, not a curated record
UCAGAUUUUUUUUUUUUUUUUAAUAUAUUUUGGCCCCUCUUUUCCUUUCUCCGCCAUCGUGGUGUGUUCUUGCCUCCGCUUCUCGCCAUGUCUUCUCUCAAGACUUUCAAGAUUAAGCAAUUCCUGGCCCAGAAACAAAAGCAAAAUCGUCCCAUUCCCCAGUGGAUUCAGAUGAAAACUGGAGAUAAAAUCAGGUACAACUCCAAAGGAGACAUUGGAGAAGAACCAAGCUGGGUCUAUAAGGAAUUGCACAUGAGAUGGCACACAUAUUUGUGCUGUCUGAAGGUCACGAUCACAUUACCAUAUCAAACUGAAAAUGUCACCACUCUCUGGAGAGUUCGACGUGUUUUCCUCUCUGAAUCUAUUGUGAAUGCGUUGGUUGACUGGGUUCAGUAAUAAAUAUGUGAGGCCUUUCAUUUAAAAAAUAUAUAUAGAGAGAGAGAGAGGAAUAAUUCUAGAUUUACAGAAAAGACAUGAAGAUAGUAUGGAGAAUUCCCAUAUACCCCACACCCUGUUUCCCUGUUUCUGAUAUCUUACAUUUGUAUGGUACAUUUGUCAUAAUUAAUGAGCCCAAAUAGUGUGUUACUAUUAAAGUUCAUACUUUAUUCA